Molecule: ribosomal RNA, 252 nt
Filed under: uncultured bacterium
Lineage: Bacteria
Description: partial 16S ribosomal RNA
Rfam family: Bacterial small subunit ribosomal RNA
Source: RNAcentral
UACGUAGGGUGCAAGCGUUGUCCGGAAUUAUUGGGCGUAAAGAGCUCGUAGGCGGUCUGUCGCGUCGGCUGUGAAAACCUGAGGCUCAACCUCAGGCCUGCAGUCGAUACGGGCAGACUAGAGUUCGGUAGGGGAGACUGGAAUUCCUGGUGUAGCGGUGAAAUGCGCAGAUAUCAGGAGGAACACCGGUGGCGAAGGCGGGUCUCUGGGCCGAUACUGACGCUGAGGAGCGAAAGCGUGGGAGCGAACAGG